CCUGGCUCAGGAUGAACGCUAGCUACAGGCUUAACACAUGCAAGUCGAGGGGCAUCAGGAAGAAAGCUUGCUUUCUUUGCUGGCGACCGGCGCACGGGUGAGUAACACGUAUCCAACCUGCCCUUUACUCGGGGAUAGCCUUUCGAAAGAAAGAUUAAUACCCGAUAGCAUAAUGAUUCCGCAUGGUUUCAUUAUUAAAGGAUUCCGGUAAAGGAUGGGGAUGCGUUCCAUUAGGUUGUUGGUGAGGUAACGGCCCACCAAGCCUUCGAUGGAUAGGGGUUCUGAGAGGAAGGUCCCCCACAUUGGAACUGAGACACGGUCCAAACUCCUACGGGAGGCAGCAGUGAGGAAUAUUGGUCAAUGGGCGCUAGCCUGAACCAGCCAAGUAGCGUGAAGGAUGAAGGCUCUAUGGGUCGUAAACUUCUUUUAUAUAAGAAUAAAGUGCAGUAUGUAUACUGUUUUGUAUGUAUUAUAUGAAUAAGGAUCGGCUAACUCCGUGCCAGCAGCCGCGGUAAUACGGAGGAUCCGAGCGUUAUCCGGAUUUAUUGGGUUUAAAGGGAGCGUAGGUGGACUGGUAAGUCAGUUGUGAAAGUUUGCGGCUCAACCGUAAAAUUGCAGUUGAUACUGUCAGUCUUGAGUACAGUAGAGGUGGGCGGAAUUCGUGGUGUAGCGGUGAAAUGCUUAGAUAUCACGAAGAACUCCGAUUGCGAAGGCAGCUCACUGGACUGCAACUGACACUGAUGCUCGAAAGUGUGGGUAUCAAACAGGAUUAGAUACCCUGGUAGUCCACACAGUAAACGAUGAAUACUCGCUGUUUGCGAUAUACAGUAAGCGGCCAAGCGAAAGCAUUAAGUAUUCCACCUGGGGAGUACGCCGGCAACGGUGAAACUCAAAGGAAUUGACGGGGGCCCGCACAAGCGGAGGAACAUGUGGUUUAAUUCGAUGAUACGCGAGGAACCUUACCCGGGCUUAAAUUGCAGUGGAAUGACGUGGAAACAUGUCAGUGAGCAAUCACCGCUGUGAAGGUGCUGCAUGGUUGUCGUCAGCUCGUGCCGUGAGGUGUCGGCUUAAGUGCCAUAACGAGCGCAACCCUUAUCUUUAGUUACUAACAGGUCAUGCUGAGGACUCUAGAGAGACUGCCGUCGUAAGAUGUGAGGAAGGUGGGGAUGACGUCAAAUCAGCACGGCCCUUACGUCCGGGGCUACACACGUGUUACAAUGGGGGGUACAGAAGGCAGCUAGCGGGUGACCGUAUGCUAAUCCCAAAAUCCUCUCUCAGUUCGGAUCGAAGUCUGCAACCCGACUUCGUGAAGCUGGAUUCGCUAGUAAUCGCGCAUCAGCCACGGCGCGGUGAAUACGUUCCCGGGCCUUGUACACACCGCCC
RNAcentral lists this ribosomal RNA (1383 nucleotides) under uncultured bacterium. RNAcentral's name for it is "bacterial SSU rRNA". It matches the Rfam family "Bacterial small subunit ribosomal RNA", at positions 18 to 1395 of the family's 1533-position model. The record is from RNAcentral.